GUUAGGAAUUUUGCGCAAUGGGGGAAACCCUGACGCAGCAACGCCGCGUGAAGGAUGAAGGCCUUCGGGUUGUAAACUUCUUUAGGCAGGAAAGAACACAAUGACGGUACCUGCAGAAUAAGCACCGGCUAACUCUGUGCCAGCAGCCGCGGUAAUACAGAGGGUGCAAGCGUUAUUCGGAAUUACUGGGCAUAAAGAGCGCGUAGGCGGUUCGAUAAGUCUGAUGUGAAAUCCCUGGACUCAAUUCAGGAAGUGCAUCGGAUACUGUCGGACUAGAGUAUAGGAGGGGACAGCGGAAUUCCUGGUGUAGAGGUGAAAUUCGUAGAUAUCAGGAGGAACAACAGUGGCGAAGGCGGCUGUCUGGACUAUUACUGACGCUGAGGCGCGAAAGCGUGGGGAGCAAACAGGAUUAGAAACCCGAGUAGUCC
This 428-nucleotide ribosomal RNA is filed under the name uncultured bacterium. RNAcentral describes it as "bacterial SSU rRNA". It matches the Rfam family "Bacterial small subunit ribosomal RNA", at positions 354 to 796 of the family's 1533-position model. The record is from RNAcentral.